Long non-coding RNA from Scylla paramamosain (green mud crab), 3899 nucleotides. RefSeq lists it as uncharacterized. NCBI's taxonomy places the organism in Eukaryota, Metazoa, Arthropoda, Malacostraca, Decapoda, Portunidae. The record is from RefSeq and is a predicted model, not a curated record. The transcript is spliced from 3 exons.
GAGGAAAUGUCGUCAGAAAUCCAGUCACUUGUCCCAGUGUUUGAGUGUCUGGCAAUGAACAGGAGUGACGCACGACGCUGUAUAAAUAUGACCUCUGCCUCGCACAGAGUCAGUGGCACCCAAGCAGCAGAAGGGAAAUAUGAGGCGUUUUCUCCUCUGCUGGGUGUCGCGGGCAGCCAUGGUGGCUGGGCAGGACACGGGCGGAAUUACUCUUUCCUGCCCCCGGUGACAGAGAGCCCGUUCCCUCACCGGGGGCAGGACCAUUUACCUUGCCCCGGACUGACUCUUCCUGCCGACGCAUGGCGAGGAAUCCUGGCCACACCUCCGCUGCUAGGCGGACCACAGUGUCCCCACAGAGCUGUGUAGCCUCCAACACCAGGCAACCACCCAAACACCACCAUCGUCAACACAGCCCCGUCAACACGCAGCCCAUCACCACUACGACAACCACCACUUCUGUAUGAUGGCCACGCCAUCGAGGAAUACAGUGGUGACAGUGACUGCGUAGUGACGGAGGAUAGAAGGAAAACUCUCUCUCUCUCUCUCUCUCUCUCUCUCUCUCUCUCUCUCUCUCUCUCUCUCUCUCUCUCUCUCUCUCUCUCUCUCUCUCAGCAGGGAUGGCGGCGCAGGAAUUCCUGACGGAAAAGGAAACUCACCAAAGAUUCUUUAUCAUUAAGCAGCCCAUCUUAACCAUUACGUACACUACACCCGCCCUUUACAAUCAUGCUCUCUGUAUUAUCAUUAACAUCUCUUAAAUUUCAUCGCAUUUCUGGAUCUCGCAUGUCAUGUUGCACAAUUCUGUGAGCGAAGUCAGUGAAUGCUUCAUAUUGUGUGGUUUUACACACGUUAAUAUCCAGCAUGACUUGUUAGGAAACAAUUCUUAAUAUAUAGUAAUAACUCUGUAACACUGCAGUCAAUGUGUUGAAUUGUGACUAAGGAUUGGUUUUGCACUGAAGAUAAAUAAAGCUAUUUGUUUCUAUUUUCCUGUUUUAAAAUGUAUCCCUGAUAUGUUAUUAUUUCUUUUUAUUCUUUAUUUUUUCUUUAGUUCUGAAGUAAUUAAAAGUAUAAUUAUUUUGAUAAGCUUGAAUGAGAUUGUGCUGCCCUUAACGUACACACCAGCACAGGAUCAUGAGCAUUCUUCCUCUUACGUACGCACCCAUCCACACGUGCUCCUGCACAGGCACACAUACACAAACUCACACACAAAUACGCGCGCGCGCACACACACACACACACACACACACACACACACACACACACACACACACACACACAUAUACAUACACACAGACACAAAUAAAUAUAUAAACAAAACAAACAAGUAAAAUUAAAACAAUAAAAUAAGAUUAACAUUAAACUGAAUAAAAAAUUAAGUUUCCGUGAUUUAUGCGGGAAGUGUCCCGGCUGAGCUGAAAGCUGUUACGGGAGGCUCACUAUUACUGCUGAGGGUGUUUACUUCGCUGCUUUGAUCAACUGUUGGAAGCCUCGAUACGAAGUUAAAAGGACAAGACAAGGCAAGGAAAGGCUAAAAAAAAAAAAAAUAAUAAAUAAAUAAAUAAUAGGAAAUAAAAAAAGGAGAAUAGCUUUGGACUAGGAAUUGUUUGUGGCACGAGAGAGAGAGAGAGAGAGAGAGAGAGAGAGAUAAAGACUGUGUGUGUGUAUUCACCUAGUUAUAUUUACACAGUUGUAAUGUAUAGAUAGUGAGGUACGUUCGUGGGGUCCUCUCUCCGAAUCUCGUGUUAUGAAGUUUCUCGUUGAAUUCAUGAAUGUUUGUGGCAUGAACUGCCUUUCACUCAAGUCAAUUCCAAGUGUCAAUGCAUCUUUAUUUAAUGCUGAACUGUGAUACCCCUCCAGCAUCUUGUCUUCUUUAAUUUCCUUCCAUGCCCUCUUAUUUCUCCAGUGUCCCACGCAAACAAGUUAUCCCUGCCAAAUGACUGGUCCGUUCAUUGGUCUGCAUACCGGUAUCAAGUCACCUCCUUUCUCUUCUUUCCUACAGAGAUGGCAGGCUUGGUCUGUUAAAUCUUUCCUCAUGUGUCACAUCCUUCUGGCUGGCAAUUAAAUUUGUAUGUUACUCUUUGUGUUCUUUAGAUUUUUUUAAUACAUUUAUUUUCAGGGAACUAUAGACAACAGCAACACAUGAUGAUCUUGGUCAAGUCACCAAUAUAUAUAUGUACUUUUUUUUUUCACCAUGUCCUCAUUUAUAUAAAGGAAUAACAUCCUCAUGCUGGUCAGUUAUUUGUUUCUCUUGUGAUUUUGUUUGUUUCUCUGGGGAUAAGUAAUUUUUCAAUCACUACCCCUAGAUCCUUUCCUUCUUUCAACUUUUUUUUUUCCUAAGUGUGUGUGUGUGUCGAGUCAAUGAAAAAAUACACACACACACACACACACACACACACACACACUGGUGUCAAAAUGAAUAUAUCUGGACAAUUUUUAGAUUAUCAUGAUAUUACACUCAAUGUUUAAGUAGUUUUACUGCUUACUAACAGUGUGAAAGUAGUAACGUAUCAUGAAGUAUAUUGAUGAGCCUAGCAGGGGAUUGUUUCAGCUGAUCUUACUGUGUGUGUGCGUGUGUGUGUGUGUGUGUGUGUGUGUGUUGUUACUAAUUCAACGUCUACCACUACUACUACUACUACUACUACUACUACUACUACUACUACUACUACUACUAUUGCUACUACUACUACUACUACUAAUAGUCCCUAUAAAUAGAAAUGACGCAUAACUUCCAUGAACUCGGAGAGCUUCGUGCCUCCAACUAAGUGGUGCAACACAGAUAGCACGCUUACCUCGCCUGACGACAGAUAAUCAUUGCAACACCUUUUGAAACUAGGUCUUAUACUGCUUUUAUUUUAGAGCACAACAGGUCAUACUGUAUACUUACUAUCUCAUCAUUAAUGGACACAAUGUGAGAGUAACGAUUAGCGAGGAAAUGUCGUCAGAAAUCUAGUCACUUGUCCCAGUAUUUCAGUGUCUGGCAAUGAACAGGAGUGACGCACGACGCUGUAUAAAUAUGACCUCAGCCUCGCACAGAGUCAGUGGCACCCAAGCAGCAAGAGGGAAGUAUGAAGUGUUUUCUCCUCUGCUGGGUGUCGCGGGCAGCCAUGGUGGCUGCGCAGGACACGGGCGGAAUUACUCUUUCCUGCCCCCGGUGACAGAGAGCCCGUUCCCUCACCGGGGGCAGGACCAUUUACCUUGCCCCGGACUGACUCUUCCUGCCGACGCAUGGCGAGGAAUCCUGGCCACACCUCCGCUGCUAGGCGGACCACAGUGUCCCCACAGAGCUGUGUAGCCUCCAACACCAGGCAACCACCCAAACACCACCAUCGUCAACACAGCCCCGUCAACACGCAGCCCAUCACCACUACGACAACCACCACUUCUGUAUGAUGGCCACGCCAUCGAGGAAUACAGUGGUGACAGUGACUGCGUAGUGACGGAGAAUAGAAGGAAAACUCUCUCUCUCUCUCUCUCUCUCUCUCUCUCUCUCUCUCUCUCUCUCUCUCUCUCUCUCUCUCUCUCUCUCUCUCUCAGCAGGGAUGGCGGCGCAGGAAUUCCUGACGGAAAAAGGAAACUCACCAAAGAUUGUUUAUCAUUAAGCAGCCCAUCUUAACCAUUACGUACACUACACCCGUCCUUUACAAUCAUGCUUUCUGUAUUAUCAUUAACAUCUCUUAAAUUUCAUCGCAUUUCUGGAUCUCGCAUGUCAUGUUGCACAAUUCUGUGAGCGAAGUCAGUGAAUGCUUCAUAUUGUGUGGUUUUACACACGUUAAUAUCCAGCAUGACUUGUUAGGAAACAAUUCUUAAUAUAUAGUAAUAACUCUGUAACACUGCAGUCAAUGUGUUGAAUUGUGACUAAGGAUUUGUUUUGCACUGAAGAUAAAUAAAGCUAUUUGUUACUA